This 497-nucleotide ribosomal RNA is filed under the name uncultured bacterium. RNAcentral's name for it is "partial 16S ribosomal RNA". It matches the Rfam family "Bacterial small subunit ribosomal RNA", at positions 28 to 507 of the family's 1533-position model. The record is from RNAcentral.
GAUGAACGCUGGCGGCGUGCCUAAUACAUGCAAGUCGAGCGAACAGACGAGGAGCUUGCCCCUCUGACGUUAGCGGCGGACGGGUGAGUAACACGUGGAUAACCUACCUAUAAGACUGGGAUAACUUCGGGAAACCGGAGCUAAUACCGGAUAAUAUAUUGAACCGCAUGGUUCAAUAGUGAAAGACGGUUUUGCUGUCACUUAUAGAUGGAUCCGCGCCGCAUUAGCUAGUUGGUAAGGUAACGGCUUACCAAGGCAACGAUGCGUAGCCGACCUGAGAGGGUGAUCGGCCACACUGGAACUGAGACACGGUCCAGACUCCUACGGGAGGCAGCAGUAGGGAAUCUUCCGCAAUGGGCGAAAGCCUGACGGAGCAACGCCGCGUGGGUGAUGAAGGUCUUCGGAUCGUAAAACUCUGUUAUUAGGGAAGAACAAAUGUGUAAGUAACUAUGCACGUCUUGACGGUACCUAAUCAGAAAGCCACGGCUAACUACGUG